Molecule: RNA transcript, 2186 nt
Organism: Harmonia axyridis
Lineage: Eukaryota; Metazoa; Arthropoda; Insecta; Coleoptera; Coccinellidae
Gene name: major facilitator superfamily domain-containing protein 1-like
Exons: 12
Source: RefSeq, a predicted model, not a curated record
UCAAUGAAAUAGAUAUACUAUAAUUGAUUCAAAGUUAAAAUAGCAUGAACUUUAAUCGGAGAAAUUAGCAAAGAAAUUAAUUUCAAAACGCUCUAUCAUUAUUAAAUCUACCUAUUUCCGAUAAGAUUUCCUGAAAUACUUUGUCCAAUCUUCUUCUAUUUUGUGAAUAGCAUUAUCAUUGAAUCCUUUUGUUUAAAUCUGCCAAAGACUUUUAUCUCAUUCAAAGAUAUUUGAAUUAUCUGAUUACGAGUUUGAUCUUUUCUCGUUAUAUUGAUAGCAAAUAUAAUAUAUAUGGUAUUCUGAUAUCAAAUACAUUUAGUGGGUGGAUACAGUGGUGUAUGGUGAAAAGUGGAAAACACUCCUGAAAGUUAAACGAAAUUAAUGGUGAAAUGGAGGGUGAACACUCUGAGCAAGAAAAUGAAAAUGUAUCCUACCAUGGCUCUACAACAAGUCUUCUUCAUUCAGUUACUCAUCCAUCUGGUCUCGUUUUUCGGUUAAUUGGUUUAGCCUUACUUUGUUUCGUUGGCUUUGGUUCUUACUUUUGCUAUGACAACCCUGCAGCUUUACAAGAUAAAAUUGAAAAUGCACUCAACAUUUCAACAUCCGAAUAUGUCUGGUUGUAUUCAGUUUAUUCAUGGCCAAAUGUCUUCUUAGGUUUCAUUGGAGGGUUUUUAAUUGAUAGAGUUUUUGGCAUUCGUAUGGGAACUAACAUAUAUAUGGGUUUAACACUAUUAGGCCAACUAUGUUUCUCAACAGGUGUCUGGUUGAAAGCUUAUUGGAUGAUGCUUCUUGGACGUUUUAUUUUUGGAAUUGGUGCUGAAUCUCUUGCUGUAGCUCAAAAUAAUUAUGCUGUUUUGUGGUUCAAAGGAAAAGCACUGAAUAUGGUAUUCGGACUACAAUUGAGUUUUGCAAGAGUUGGAAGCACAGUUAAUUUUAUGGUUAUGGAAGGUAUUUACAACAAAGUUGAGGAAAAAUUUAAAGGCAUAGACGGACUUGCUAUUACCUUCUAUUUGGCUACGAUCACCUGUGUGUUUUCUUUUGUAUGCUCAUUAAUUUUGGGUAUUAUGGAUAAAAAAGCGGAACGUACUUUAAGAGUGAAUGACGCUGUAAUAGCUGACCCAGUGAGAAUGUCUGAUGUGAGAUAUUUCAGUGGGAAGUUUUGGUUACUGAAUGUAGUCAUCAUAUUUUUCUAUGUUGCAAUAUUCCCGUUCUUCACUAUUGGAAAAUCGUUUUUCAUGAAGAAAUACCACAUGAAUGAAUCAGAUGCUAACUUCAUUUGUAGUAUAGUAUAUUUAAUUUCUGGUAUUGUGUCACCACUUUUAGGAUUCAUGAUCGAUCUAACGGGAAGAAAUCUUUUAUGGAUUACUGUAGGAAUCUCAUAUACAAUUGCUGCUCACUGCUGUCUUUCCUUUUUCACUUGGAUAAAUCCUUACAUUAGUAUGGCUUGUAUGGGUGCAUCAUAUUCCAUUCUAGCCAGCAGUUUGUGGCCUUUGAUAUCUCUUGUUAUUCCUGAAAAUCAGUUGGGAACUGCAUAUGGAGUUUGUUCUGCACUACAAAACUCAGGACUUGCAAUAUUCACAACUGUUGUUGGUAUCAUUGUUGAUGCUGACCCUUCAUACCUGUGGUCGGAACUGUUCUUUAUUGGUUGUUUAUCAGUUGCAUUACUAGCUGCGCUGGUGUUGCUUGUAUGGGACUUCUGGCAGAAUGAUGUAUUGAAUAUGACUCCGAAAGCUAGAUUGAGACAUCAACAAAGGAUGGUUAAUGGCUCAAGUGGGGAAUUGGUAUGGAGGAGUCCUUCAGCUUUUUCUAAUUUGAUUUUUUUGAAAAGUGUGGUUGUAGAUUCCUCGAUUAGUGAUAAGGGGCCGCCCAGGUUUUAGAAAGGGAAAAAUUAAAUGUACAGAGUUCCCAGGAUACUAGUAGUGAACUUGGUGAAAAUUCCAAUUUUUAUAUAAGAAAUAGGUACCUGUCAAGAAUAGGAGCUCAGUUACCACCAUCCUAUAAUCCAAUUCCAAGGACACUUACAUAUCUGAGAUAACCUGGAAUACUCUGUCGUGAUAUUGAUCUGUACAAAAUCGUGAUAUCUAGAUUUAAGGCAAUUUUAUACUUUAGACUAUUUUUUUAAGAAUAUGAUGUCAAUUGCUCUUUUUGAAUUAUGCUCAAUUUAUUCAAUAGAUCUCUUGAAUAUA